This 405-nucleotide ribosomal RNA is filed under the name uncultured bacterium. RNAcentral's name for it is "partial 16S ribosomal RNA". It matches the Rfam family "Bacterial small subunit ribosomal RNA", at positions 28 to 526 of the family's 1533-position model. The record is from RNAcentral.
GAUGAACGCUGGCUGCGUGCCUAAUACAUGCAAGUCGAGCGGAGCGGGGACGGGUGAGUAACACGCUGAUAACCUCCUAUAAGACUGGGAUAACUUCGGGAAACCGGAGCUAAACCGGAUACUUAUCGAUGGAUCCGCGCGGCACUAGCUAGUUGGUAAGGUAACGGCUUACCAAGGCAACGGUGCAUAGCCGACCUGAGAGGGUGAUAAGCCACACGGGAACUGAAACAUGGGCAAGACUCCUACAGAAGGCAGCAGUAGGGAAUCUUUCGCAAUGGGCGAAAGCCUGACAGAUCCAAGCCGCGUGCGUGAUGAAAGUAUUCUAAUCGUAAACCUCUGUUGUUAGAGAAGUGGUAUCCAACCAGAAAGCCAUGGCUAACUACGUGCCAGCCGCCGCGGUAAUAC